RNAcentral lists this long non-coding RNA (2098 nucleotides) under Mus musculus (house mouse). RNAcentral describes it as "zinc finger, NFX1-type containing 1, antisense RNA 1". The stretch from base 1718 to 1807 matches the Rfam family "Small nucleolar SNORD12/SNORD106". The record is from RNAcentral. Lineage: Eukaryota; Metazoa; Chordata; Mammalia; Rodentia; Muridae.
CCUUUCGUUCCGGCGGCUCCUAGAGCGUUUGCUUUGUUCCCGAUAUGUCUCGUCCCUCCGGGGUUAACUUGCAGAUGGUUGACCUGACCAAGCAGGACAGCAUGGAGGUUGGAGGGAGAGAAGGGCAUCGAGGGAGAUGAGAACUCACCUACCAUCUGAAAGUCUUAAGGUAUGCAUUCGUCUAGUGGCCUAAAGUGGCAAUCACGUGCUUUGAAGAGCCUUUAAGUGGGCAGUGAUAGGGAAUUUGAUGCAAGAGUUACUGCUGAGGUUCGUUGUUUUAAAAGCCCCGAGGAUUGAGCCUUAUUAUCAAAGUAUACUAAAGUCUUUUAAUUGUGUAUCUGUACAUACUGACACAGGAGAUGCAGAGCCCUGUUGUUAUUUAAAGUGUCCUGGUAGAACUGCCUGAGAAAAGGACUGAUUAAGAAAAUGGUCCCAUUGAGAUUAGUCUGUAACACAUUUUCUUGGCUGUUGAUAUGGGAGCAUUCAGCAGUUUGUGGGUGCAGUGUCUGAGCCGGGUUGAGAUUUCUUUUGUAUAUGCGUGGUAUUUAGAAAGGCAAUGAAACAUGUCUGCUAAAGUAUUUGCAGGCUAGUGCUUUUCAAGAUGUGACAAUGGCUAUCCUCCAUUACUGUAUUCUGAUAUCCACCCUGACCCACUCAGAUAAAAAUGUGAAUAUGCCCUAAAUCAAGUAGGCCCGAGAAAUGGCUUAGCAGUUAAGAGCACUGAUGGCUCUUUCGAGGGGUCCUGAGUUAAAUUUCUAGCAACCACAUGGUGGCUCACAACCAUCUAUAAUGGGGUCUGGUGCCCUCUUAUGGUGUCUCUGAAGAGAACAAUGGUGGUGUACUCGUGCAUAAAAUAUAUGAAUAAAUCUUACUCUUAAAAAAAGUAGGCCCGGGCUGGAGAGAUGGCUCAGUGGGUAAGAGCACCCGACUGCUCUUCCGAAGGUCCAGAGUUCAAAUCCCAGCAACCACAUGGUGGCUCACAACCAUCCUUAACGAGAUCUGACUCCCUCUUCUGGAGUGUCUGAGGACAGCUACAGUGUACUUACAUAUAAUAAUAAAUAAAUAAAUCUUUAAAAAAAAAAAAAAAAAGUAGGCCCAGGCAAGUUGACUUAAAUUGAGGCAAGCCUAGAGACUGAAGGGUGCUAUGUCUGAACAAUUGUCAUAUCAUUUGCAAGUGGACAGUGCCAGUCAGAGUUGUAUAUGUGAGACAGUUGCAUUUAGGGUUUGGUGCUGGAGUCAUGGGCGCCUCAGGUCAUACGUGAGGCCUCCUGGUACAUAAUGUUGAAACUUUCCAAGGCGAUUGUGAUUAUCUCAGCAAGUCCCAUUCCUUUAGCUAAUAAUUGGAGACACUGGUAUUACAGCUGUCUCCUGUAAAGGAGAUGUAGUCCUAAGUAGCUGUCUACCUAGCCCUUGGGAUCAGGCUCAGCAGCCUCCCACAGACAGGCAUGUGUGAUGACACAACUUUUUUCCCCAUCAGAUCGACCAUGUUGAUCACAUUCUUUUAAGCCAGUAUGUCUGACAUGCCUGCCUGACAGUACCCACUGCUGCUGUGCCCUUGGCGCUCAGGUAGUUGACAGGUUAUUUCUGCAUUUUAUCUCAGGUUUGCUGACAGACAAAACCGGGCUUUGAAUGGAGCGUGAACUCCUGAGGCGAGCAUUGGUGAGUGGUUUCCACGUGUCCCUCUUCCAGUGUAUACUUUGUUUCUGACAUAAACUUGGCUGGUGAACUGAUGAUAUCAUUUCUUUCCCCGUCAGAUCGACCCUGUUGAUCUCAAAUACUAAUUGCCAGUUUUGUCUGAUGCAUCAGCCCCAGGAAUAAUUCAUUGUUGGCUUUAAUCUAUUUCACUUGAUAAUGGCUUCGAUUUAUUUUCUACAGGCCCGAGAGAGCCGAGGAUGCAGGUGUUGGUCUGAUCUUGAUUUCAGGUACUUUUGGAAUACAGAAUACCAGAUGUGUUCCUGCUGCCCAGCCCCACAAGGCUAUGCAGAAUGCAAAGAAGAGUUACUUUUUGGCUGGGGAGUAGUGGUAUCAUGUGCACUAUUGCUGGAAAUAAUAAAUAUUGGCCUAUCUGUAGAAAUAAAAAUCUGACUAAUGAUAUUUA